This 450-nucleotide ribosomal RNA is filed under the name uncultured bacterium. RNAcentral's name for it is "partial 16S ribosomal RNA". It matches the Rfam family "Bacterial small subunit ribosomal RNA", at positions 354 to 796 of the family's 1533-position model. The record is from RNAcentral.
GUGGGGAAUCUUCCGCAAUGGACGAAAGUCUGACGGAGCAACGCCGCGUGAGUGAAGAAGGUUUUCGGAUCGUAAAGCUCUUUCGUUAGGGACGAACGUGCUCUUUGUGAAUAAUGAGGAGUAAUGACGGUACCUAAAUAAGAAGCCACGGCUAACUACGUGCCAGCAGCCGCGGUAAUACGUAGGUGGCAAGCGUUGUCCGGAAUUAUUGGGCGUAAAGCGCGCGCAGGCGGGAUAUCAAGUCUGUCUUAAAAGUGCGAGGCUCAACCUCGUGAGGGGACAGAAACUGGUAUUCUUGAGUGUCGGAGAGGAAAGUGAAAUUCCAAGUGUAGCGGUGAAAUGCGUAGAGAUUUGGAAGAACACCAGUGGCGAAGGCGACUUUCUGGACGAUGUCUGACGCUGAGGCGCGAAAGCUAGGGGAGCGAACGGGAUUAGAUACCCUAGUAGUCC